Molecule: non-coding RNA, 430 nt
Organism: Chiloscyllium plagiosum (whitespotted bambooshark)
Lineage: Eukaryota; Metazoa; Chordata; Chondrichthyes; Orectolobiformes; Hemiscylliidae
Source: RefSeq, a predicted model, not a curated record
GGGGGCUCCGAGACCGGGAUUGAUUCGGGCUGAAAAAUCUUCCGUCUUCCUCCAAACAAGUAUUUGAAUGAUGAAGACAAUGUCAUAUUUCCUCAGUACAAAGCCAAGUUUGACCAGCUGCUUCAAACAAACAGCAGAAACUGAGACACACAGAUUGAUACUUGCACUCAUACAUUCAGAUAGCAGAAACUGGCCGGCACAGAUGGAUAACUAAACUCACUUGGAGGAAACUGACAAGAACUUUCCCACAGCAUAACCGAACAGGUAAACAUUUAUUACUACACUUCCAAGUUCACAGAGGGAUAAAUACAUUGUCAUGUACAGUUUGAUAACAAUACUCAAUCAUAACAGAUCAGAAUCUCACAGGUCCAUAUUGGGAACUACACUCUCUCAUUCACCUUGUAGAAAUUGACAGAUGCAGACUGUUAAC